Molecule: ribosomal RNA, 253 nt
Filed under: uncultured bacterium
Lineage: Bacteria
Description: partial 16S ribosomal RNA
Rfam family: Bacterial small subunit ribosomal RNA
Source: RNAcentral
UACGUAGGGUGCGAGCGUUAAUCGGAAUUACUGGGCGUAAAGCGUGCGCAGGCGGUUGCGUAAGACAGAUGUGAAAUCCCCGGGCUCAACCUGGGAACUGCAUUUGUGACUGCACAGCUGGAGUGCGGCAGAGGGGAAUGGAAUUCCGCGUGUAGCAGUGAAAUGCGUAGAUAUGCGGAGGAACACCGAUGGCGAAGGCAAUCCCCUGGGCCUGCACUGACGCUCAUGCACGAAAGCGUGGGGAGCAAACAGG